RNAcentral lists this long non-coding RNA (808 nucleotides) under Gossypium barbadense (sea-island cotton). RNAcentral describes it as "long non-coding RNA (GBAR_LNC003622)". Lineage: Eukaryota; Viridiplantae; Streptophyta; Magnoliopsida; Malvales; Malvaceae. The record is from RNAcentral.
UUUCAAAAUGACCAAAAGACAUCCUAGGUACAAUGCCAUUUUCCAAAAAGAUAGAAACUUCACCAAUUUGAGUUCGGGGAUCGGCUUGUAUGCUGAGUCCUUAUACUUUCGUACCUAGCCUGCGCACGGAAACAAACCGUACGCUGAGAAUACUCUCAGUGGUAUUUCUAUAAACAAUAGCUUAAUCAACUUUAAAACAUGGUAAUUCAAACACAUUAUUGCUAUUAUUCAAUAUCAAUCAGUACUUUAAUAAUCUUUACUUUAUUUACCCUUAUUAACAUAACUCGGACACUGACGGAUACACGGAUCCAACCCACGCUCCGGGAUAAGCACAUAGUGCUUCAUCGGAACAAAUCCGGGACUUUAACAUUAUAGUACACAAAGUACUUCAUCGGAACAAAUCCGGAACUUUAACAGUAGUCGACACAUAGUGUCUCAUCGACUCAAUGUCGGAAUAUCCCAAUACUUCCAAUUCCUAUGACAUGUCAACUAUAUCCGACUAGCCCGACACUGCUAAUAGGGCAUUCAAAAUCACAUUCAUUUCAAUAUGGUAAAAAUACUUACCUCAUUCACAUUUUAAUACAAUAUAAAUAUCAAAUAUAGCAAUAACGAUUAAGCUCGGUUUAUAGAAAUACAAACCACUAUUUAUCGAAUUUAAUCGAUAUCUUCGUUCACUUUCUCUUUUCCCUUCUUUGAUGACGUAUCUGGUGCUACGUUUGCUACUAACAAUCAUACAAUUAAAAAUCAUCAAUAUACUAAUUCAUAAAACACAUUUUCACUUUCUAUCAAACUUUUACAAAAAUUCCAA